Molecule: long non-coding RNA, 227 nt
Organism: Thalassophryne amazonica
Lineage: Eukaryota; Metazoa; Chordata; Actinopteri; Batrachoidiformes; Batrachoididae
Exons: 3
Source: RefSeq, a predicted model, not a curated record
UUUUUUCCUCUACUAUUGAGCAACAUCUGGAUAGGUUGAGGGUAAUGGAGCUGAGACUCCCAGUUGACUUUCUGUUUGGUCAAGUUCAGGAGCUUGUGGGUGGCUUUGUUCAUGAGUGGGUCCAGGAUCACCAGACCUGCUUGCAGAUGGCUUCUGAUGGAGCUCGAGAUUGGCUGAAGGCUGCUGCAGAGCGCCGCAAGAAACAUCAUGACCAGCGUGUCCAUGAU